AGUUCACAAACUAAUUUGGAUUUGCAUUUUAAGAGGCACCCACUGAUCUUUUUCCCUGUGAGCUCCUGUCACCUGCACAUUCUGGCAGGACAGACAUCUUUCUGCUGUUGUACACUGCCGUCUGCAUCAGAGAAGGAAAUUGCUGAAGGAACUCCUUAUGAGAUAUGUUAGGGUAACUGGUUCAGUUGCAUGGAGGUGGCAGAUAUGAUGCAGAACUUCUGGGACAGUCAUAUUCUUCUGGCAGCUGGACGCAAGUUUCAAAGUGAAUCAGAAGGACAUUUGUAAAAUGACCGAAGUAGAAAUGGGUGGUCCGUAAUUACCAAAUAAGCCAGUGGCAGAGCCAGAAUGAGCAGAACUUUCUUGUGCUGUGUCACCCCACAACCAGUUGGAACAUCAGGCAAACAACAACAUUGCAUUUUGCAUUAAGUAUACUUGUGAAAACUGGAAAAAUAACAAGAAAAACACAUGGCUUAUCUGCGUAAGACACAGAGACUAUAUUUACUUCCAACUCACUGAGAGUCAAUAGCAGCAGAUGGAGUCCAUAAUUCACUAGGUCUGGGGCUUCCAUUAACUUUGAAUGAGAGUCUCAAGCCAAAUCCUCAUAUUUCU
Molecule: long non-coding RNA, 609 nt
Organism: Cygnus atratus (black swan)
Lineage: Eukaryota; Metazoa; Chordata; Aves; Anseriformes; Anatidae
Exons: 4
Source: RefSeq, a predicted model, not a curated record